UACGUAGGGGGCUAGCGUUGUCCGGAAUCAUUGGGCGUAAAGAGCGCGUAGGCGGCCAGACAAGUCCGGUGUGAAAGUCAAAGGCUCAACCUUUGAAUGCCGCUGGAAACUGUCUGGCUAGAGUCCGGGAGGGGCGAGUGGAAUUCCUGGUGUAGCGGUGAAAUGCGCAGAUAUCAGGAGGAACACCAAUUGCGAAGGCAGCUCGCUGGAACGUAACUGACGCUGAGACGCGAAAGCGUGGGGAGCAAACAGG
This 253-nucleotide ribosomal RNA is filed under the name uncultured bacterium. RNAcentral's name for it is "partial 16S ribosomal RNA". It matches the Rfam family "Bacterial small subunit ribosomal RNA", at positions 524 to 776 of the family's 1533-position model. The record is from RNAcentral.